GUCUUUUUUUUGUCUGAAUGAUUCAUGAUAUUAACAACAACAUGUUCACAAUUACAAAGGGGAAACGAGGGCAAUCAAACUACAAAAAAUCAUUACAAUUAUGUAAUACAUUUAUCAAUUUCAAACACCAUCUCUAGCCAAAAAGAGUAGUCUUAUGCUACAUAAGAUUGUGAUUGGUCCGCCAUUGUGACACUUUUAACUAUGAGGAAAGCUCCUUGGUUUGCUCAUCGA
Molecule: long non-coding RNA, 231 nt
Organism: Arabidopsis thaliana (thale cress)
Lineage: Eukaryota; Viridiplantae; Streptophyta; Magnoliopsida; Brassicales; Brassicaceae
Product: other RNA
Exons: 1
Source: RefSeq